GUAAUUGUACAUUAAGAAAGCAUCUCAUUGGAACAAUACAGAGAAGAUUAGCAUGGCCCCUGCGCAUGGAUGACAUGCUAAUUCAUGAAGCAUUCCAUAUUUUU
Small nuclear RNA from Echinops telfairi (small Madagascar hedgehog), 104 nucleotides. The record is from RefSeq and is a predicted model, not a curated record. Lineage: Eukaryota; Metazoa; Chordata; Mammalia; Afrosoricida; Tenrecidae.